Molecule: long non-coding RNA, 152 nt
Organism: Onychostruthus taczanowskii (white-rumped snowfinch)
Lineage: Eukaryota; Metazoa; Chordata; Aves; Passeriformes; Passeridae
Exons: 3
Source: RefSeq, a predicted model, not a curated record
CCAGCGCAGGAAGUUCUGUAGUUCUGUGAUCCUGGUACAAAGAAUUUUGGAAAAUGGAGAGAAGAGUAAAGAGAGUUGUUAACCUACUGGUUAUCUGGAAACCAUGCCACCUUAAGUAUUUUUAAUCCUUUUUUGAUUCUGAAUUCCUGAGC